GGGAUUGUGGCUCAGCGGUAGAGCACGUGCUUUCCUAGCACGUGUGAGGCCCUGGGUUCCAUCCUCAGCACCA
RNAcentral lists this transfer RNA (73 nucleotides) under Ictidomys tridecemlineatus (thirteen-lined ground squirrel). RNAcentral's name for it is "Spermophilus tridecemlineatus (thirteen-lined ground squirrel) tRNA". It matches the Rfam family "tRNA". From Rfam's summary of the family: Transfer RNA (tRNA) molecules are approximately 80 nucleotides in length. The record is from Rfam by way of RNAcentral. Lineage: Eukaryota; Metazoa; Chordata; Mammalia; Rodentia; Sciuridae.